UACGUAGGUGGCGAGCGUUGUCCGGAUUUACUGGGUGUAAAGGGCGUGUAGACGGGUAAAUAAGUCAGGUGUGAAAUGCCGAAGCUCAACUUCGGAACUGCAUUUGAAACUAUUUAUCUUGAGUGUGGGAGAGGAAAGCGGAAUUCCUAGUGUAGCGGUGAAAUGCGUAGAUAUUAGGAGGAACACCAGUGGCGAAGGCGGCUUUCUGGACCAUAACUGACGUUGAGGCGCGAAAGCGUGGGGAGCAAACAGGAUUAGAUACCCUGGUAGUCCACGCUGUAAACGAUGGAUACUAGGUGUGGGGGGUAUCGACCCCCUCCGUGCCGGAGUUAACACAAUAAGUAUCCCACCUGGGGAGUACGACCGCAAGGUUGAAACUCAAAGGAAUUGACGGGGGCCCGCACAAGCAGUGGAGUAUGUGGUUUAAUUCGAAGCAACGCGAAGAACCUUACCAAAACUUGACAUACCUUGAAUUACCUUUAAUCGGGGAAGCCUUCGGGCAAGGAUACAGGUGGUGCAUGGUUGUCGUCAGCUCGUGUCGUGAGAUGUUGGGUUAAGUCCCGCAACGAGCGCAACCCUUGUUGUUAGUUGCCAUCAUUAAGUUGGGCACUCUAACGAGACUGCCGGUGACAAAUCGGAGGAAGGUGGGGAUGACGUCAAAUCAUCAUGCCCCUUAUGUUUUGGGCUACACACGUACUACAAUGGCCGGUAACAAAGCGAAGCUAAGUCGCGAGGCGGAGCAAAUCGCAAAACCCGGUCCCAGUUCAGAUUGCAGGCUGCAACUCGCCUGCAUGAAGUCGGAAUUGCUAGUAAUCGCGGAUCAGAAUGCCGCGGUGAAUACGUUCCCGGGCCUUGUACACACCGCCCGUCACACCAUGAGAGUUGGCAACACCCGAAGCCUGUGAGCUAACCGUAAGGGAGCAGCAGUCGAAGGUGGGGUUAAUGAUUAGGGUA
This 954-nucleotide ribosomal RNA is filed under the name uncultured eubacterium WCHA1-45. RNAcentral describes it as "bacterial SSU rRNA". It matches the Rfam family "Bacterial small subunit ribosomal RNA", at positions 524 to 1482 of the family's 1533-position model. Lineage: Bacteria; Bacillati; Bacillota. The record is from RNAcentral.